GACUCUGUGGCGCAACGGUCGCGCGUCUGACUCCAGAUCAGAAGGGCUGCGAGUUCAUCUCACGUCAGGGUCA
RNAcentral lists this transfer RNA (73 nucleotides) under Gasterosteus aculeatus (three-spined stickleback). It matches the Rfam family "tRNA". Rfam says of the family: Transfer RNA (tRNA) molecules are approximately 80 nucleotides in length. Their secondary structure includes four short double-helical elements and three loops (D, anti-codon, and T loops). The record is from Rfam by way of RNAcentral. Lineage: Eukaryota; Metazoa; Chordata; Actinopteri; Perciformes; Gasterosteidae.